UUGAAGCUAGUUAGAUAUAAUCUCCUUAACAUAAUGGCAAUCAGAAGAGCUGCAUGUCCAAAGGUUCUUCUUCAGCAAAGUCAUCUUUGCAGGCAGAGGGUGCCCAGAAGUCCAGAAGCAACAGCAACAAUUCUCCCACGAUGUCUGGUUUCUCAGCAACCCACUCUCAGUUUUUGGCUUUUGGCACAUACUAACAUCACCAGUAGCAUGACAAGGCACACAAUGUUUUUCCUGUGACAAAGGCCACACUCCAACAGAUGCAGGAUCAAUUGCUUAUUGAGUUAAUUCAGUCCUCUUUAAAUAUAAAUUCCUAGAACACCGAAUCAAGCUAUGUAGGAGUAGGACAGUAUGCUUAUCAGUCUUCUUGCCUCUCAGAACACAUGAAGAAGCCGAAAGAUAAACAAUUAAAUUAA
Molecule: long non-coding RNA, 413 nt
Organism: Populus nigra (black poplar)
Lineage: Eukaryota; Viridiplantae; Streptophyta; Magnoliopsida; Malpighiales; Salicaceae
Exons: 2
Source: RefSeq, a predicted model, not a curated record